CUCCAGGGGUCAGUCUUGGACUUAGUUUAGUCUGUGAGUCUGUCCUGAUGUGUUUGCAUUGGAUGCUCUUUGUUUUGUUUCCCUGCAGUAUCCUGAAGGAUAUUUGGAAGCUGUUGCAAACAAAGAUAAGGAAAAAGAAAAUAGUGGAGAUGAUGAGUUUGAUACCCCWGGGAAAGGGAAGAGGAAAAGGAAAUCAGCAGGUGGGGAGGAAAAACUCGUGGCCUCUCCAGCUGGGACUCCAAAGAAGACAAAAGUUGAGCCAUACAAGCUGACAUCCCAGCAGAAAUCUCUCAUAAAAAGCGAUGAAGCCAAYGAGAAACUGUGGAAUGAAGUCCUUGAGGCUCUCAAAGAUGGACCGAAAUUUCUGAAUAAAGUGGAGGAGGCCUUUCUGUGCAUUUGCUGUCAGGAGGUUGUGUUCCGGCCGGUCACCACCGUGUGCCAGCACAACGUGUGCAAGGACUGCCUGGACAGGUCCUUCAAGGCCUCGGUGUUCAGCUGCCCCGCGUGCCGCUACGAGCUGGGCUGUGGUUACAGCAUGGAGGUGAACGAGGCCCUGCAGAGCAUCCUCACCCAACUCUUCCCCGGCUACGGCAGCGGCCGGUGAUCCCCCAAAGCACUUCUCCCUCCCCACACCUACCCACGGGCUUAAUUUAAAACAACAACAACAACAACAACAACAACGAAAAGGUAGUCUGUUCUUUUCUCCCCUCAAAAAUAAUGGUUUAAAGUCUUCCUUUGUUUUUUUAAAAAAAACUGUAAACUCCAAGGAUUAUCCUUCUGUACGUUCGUGGAUUUUGUUUUCGUUCUCUAUGUUGAACUUUGGUUUUUAAUUUUUUUUUUUUUUUCCAUCCC
Malurus melanocephalus (red-backed fairy wren) is the source of this 852-nucleotide long non-coding RNA. RefSeq lists it as uncharacterized. The transcript is spliced from 4 exons. The record is from RefSeq and is a predicted model, not a curated record. NCBI's taxonomy places the organism in Eukaryota, Metazoa, Chordata, Aves, Passeriformes, Maluridae.